UGAAGCUGGAAUCGCUAGUAAUCGUAGAUCAGCAUGCUACGGUGAAUACGUUCCCGGGUCUUGUACACACCGCCCGUCACACCACGAGAGUUUGUAACACCCGAAGCCGGUGGAGUAACCUUUUAGGAGCUAGCCGUCGAAGGUGGGACAAAUGAUUGGGGUGAAGUCGUAACAAGGUAGCCGUAUCGGAAGGUGCGGCUGGAUCACCUCCUUUCUAAGGA
This 221-nucleotide ribosomal RNA is filed under the name Staphylococcus aureus. Its description in RNAcentral is "partial 16S ribosomal RNA". It matches the Rfam family "Bacterial small subunit ribosomal RNA", at positions 1321 to 1533 of the family's 1533-position model. Lineage: Bacteria; Bacillati; Bacillota; Bacilli; Caryophanales; Staphylococcaceae. The record is from RNAcentral.